This 406-nucleotide ribosomal RNA is filed under the name uncultured bacterium. RNAcentral's name for it is "partial 16S ribosomal RNA". It matches the Rfam family "Bacterial small subunit ribosomal RNA", at positions 30 to 526 of the family's 1533-position model. The record is from RNAcentral.
AUUGAACGCUGGCGGCAGGCCUAACACAUGCAAGUCGAACGAGUGGCGGACGGGUGAGUAAUGUCUGGGAAACUGCCUGAUGGAGGGGGAUAACUACUGGCAACGGUAGCUAAUACCGCAUACCAUCAGAUGUGCCAAGAGGGGAGUAGCUUGGUGGUGGGGUAACGGCUCACCAAGGCGACGAUCCCUAGCUGGUCUGAGAGGAGGACCAGUCACACUGGAACUGAGACACGGUCUAGAGUCCGACGGGAGGCAGCAGUGGGUAAUAUUGCACAAUGGGCGCAAGCCGGAUGCAGCCAUGCCGCUGGUAUGAAGAAGGCCUUAGGGUUGUAAAGUACUUUCAGCGGGGAGGCGUUACCCGCAGAAGAAGCACCGGCUAACUCCGUGCCAGCAGCCGCGGUAAUUC